ACAAAAACCUAACAGGAUGCAUAUUGUGAAACUAUAUAUGUAUUACAAAGUAGCAUUUUGUAAAGUUUUAAAAAACUCUUUUCCAGGUUUUCCACCUUGUACUGAAAGCAACAGAUACAACAGGUCUGUUCUGUCAAGGAACACUAAUUAUCUUGAUUGAAACAUAAAUGAUGAGAAGCCUCAAUUUGAGCCAUUUCCUUUGGAUUCUAUUAAUGUGACUGAGAAGAAAUCUGUUGGAGAAAUUAUAGCAAAAGUAAAAGCAACAGAUCGAGAUGAAGAUAGCAGUAUCAUUUAUUCCUUUAAGACUCAGCAGAAAAUGUUUGGUUUGGACCCCUCCACAGGAACAAUCACUCUUCUUCAGCCUUUGAAUCUUGACAACCCAAGUAACUCCAAAAUCUACUCUUUGGAAAUUGAGG
Long non-coding RNA from Cercocebus atys (sooty mangabey), 416 nucleotides. RefSeq lists it as uncharacterized. NCBI's taxonomy places the organism in Eukaryota, Metazoa, Chordata, Mammalia, Primates, Cercopithecidae. The record is from RefSeq and is a predicted model, not a curated record. The transcript has 3 exons.